UUUAAGUUCAAAAAAAUUAUUAGCCAUAACUUUAGGACAUUUUAUGAUAAGGCUAAUGAUCGACCGUGUCAUGGACAAUUUGCGGUUACUCAAUAACUUAGGUACUUUGUAGACGAAGAAGAUAGUGUACUAUAAUCAAGGCAGAAUACAUAAGUUGUGUACACUUUUUACUUACACAUUCAAUCUUAAUUCAGUUCAUUUGAACAGUUCAAUUACAGCUUAAAUGUGUCAUUUAGACACAAUAUGCUGACAUGGCAGCACUACACUUUUCACUUACACUCCAUCUUAAUUCCGUUCAUUUGAACACUUCAAUUACAGCUUAAAUGUGUCAUUUAGACACAAUAUGCUGACAUGGCAAGUGUUUCUCAUAUUCUUCAAGUGUGUGAAAUCAUUCAAAAAAACAAUCUCCGCACACUUCUUAUCGGAAAAUGUAUAGCUUAUGCUGGAAAAUUUUCCGGUCAUCUUCUUAACCCAAAUUGUUUUUAGAUUUGUUCAUGCUAAUUACUACUGUAUCCUCCUUUAGAUCUGUGCACACCUCCACUACCACCUUUAAAUCUGGCCACCAUCAUAAACUUUUCAUUUUCCUUCUCAAUUUUAAGAUCUGAUUGGCGCUGCAAUUCUAGCCGAAAAAGUAGCAGCGCCGCUAGCUGCCAACCUCAUCUUUUCUAUUUAUCUUCCACCAUGUGAGCAACCACAGGAUGGCACGAACAGGAACAGUGGCAAGAGCCCUCUCAUUUCCACUCGUUCGACGAAACUUUAUUUUUCCCGACGAAGUUUCGCUUUUUGCUCUAACAAUUAAAUUUUGUGACUUGAAUAUUAAUCUUAACCAGAUGCGGCAAGAUUCGAGCAGAUCUGGCAGGAAAUAACAAGUUUUGGUGACCCUUAUACGUCGGUGUCGUCUUCUCCUCGUUUUUUCUUUUUAUUUUUGUCUACAGAUUAUAGAUCUAAAAACAUAUGGUGAAACUCCACCAUUAUUUAAUCAGCUCGGAAUUUUGUUUUCCGACGACUUUGUGGUUUAGUGGAAUUUUGGUGUUUCCGGCAACCUUCAUGCUUCUGUUCAUUUGUUGUUAUGACUAAGCCCCAUUUUUUGUUCAUUUACGUUGGAUCUAAAUUGGUUAUUCAUUGGUGUUUUCCCUUCGUUUGCUGCUCUUGUUUGUUUGUAAAUGAUUUUAUUAGUAAUGUAUUCCUUCUGCUCUGUGUUCGUUUUCUGCUGCGUUUUGGGGGGGAAAAUGGCCGAAAAUUAAUUUUUCCGGUGAGGGGUAGUUGGGAAGACGACGACGAGUGGGGUUAAGUUAAAUCCACGUGUCCUCAUCAUAUUCGUCACUUCGGUGUGUGAAAUACACG
This 1344-nucleotide long non-coding RNA is filed under the name Nicotiana tabacum (common tobacco). Its description in RNAcentral is "long non-coding RNA (NTAB_LNC017133)". The record is from RNAcentral. Lineage: Eukaryota; Viridiplantae; Streptophyta; Magnoliopsida; Solanales; Solanaceae.